AUUGCUUCCUUGUCCCCACAAGAGGGAAAUGCAUUAUUGUAUGGCAGGAGCCAAGAGGCUUGGGCCCCAUACAGGCCUCCCUCUAGGGGCCCCCUUGCUCCCCAUGGCAUGCAUGGGUCGGGUGGGAUGAUCCAUGAGAUCCUGGCCAAUCUGAAUCUUCUAGAGCCCUGUGACUUGCUGAGUGGGUUCCAUGGCAAGGCCUUGCAUACUUGGAAAGCAGGGUCAUUUCAUGUGACUCGGGAGAGAAUUCGAAUUCAUUUACAGACUGCUACGGCCUCUAUGUGUUGGUGUGCAAAACAGCUCUGCUCCAGCUGGGCAAGUGUCCCUGAAGACUUUCUCCAUGGGACCAUGUCCUCUCCUGUUCCCACGGAGGUCCAGGUAGCAAAUGUGCCCUGUGGAAACGAAGAUCUUAGAGACCCAAAGGGCAAUUUCAUGCUUGCAAAGCCAGCUUUCAUCAUCAGAGAAAUGUGUGUCAGGAGCUAAGCCUCUCAUCUGAAAGGGUCCAGCCCAGGAGACCCCGCUGACCUGAGGGUCACAGAAGGGGGCCCUCUGGACCCCCAGGGAACAGAGGGCAGGAGGAGUCCCCGCUCCAGUUUCCAGGAGGCUUUAGGCCACAAUGGGCAUUGGUCUACUGGGGCCAUGCAGAACCUUCCAGAAGAUCAGAGCUGGACAGGACCUUUGAGAGCAUCCAGCAACAACACAAUGCCAGCAGCAGUACUGGACUCUUACAGAGCUCUUGCUACGUGUCAGACAUUCUUCUAGAUCUUUGUAUUAACUCUUAAAUCUGCAGUCCUCACGACUAGCAAUCUGUGGAUCUACUCUGCCUCCCUCCUUUCCGGAGAUGGGCUUCUCUCCCGGCCUCAGGGCUCCUCUCUGCAAAGGAGGGAGGCAGGGUAGGUCCACACAUUACUAGUUGUUAAUGGAGAGGAGCGUGACCUGUCAAAAGGCGGUGAACUGGGGAGAAGUCCCAACUGCCAAGUCAUUCCAGAAAGCGGCUUCGCUGAGCUAUCAGUCAGAUGGUGAGGAGGCGAAGAAACAAGUCCUGCUCGCGGAGGCGAACCUGCUCUGCUUCCUCGGGCUGCGUUUUCAUACAGCUGCCUCUGUGUUACAGAGGCACCGUCUGCUGUCAUCAAAUCACAGCAAAUUACAGCACACAUGGGGUCCCGAGAUCCUGCGUGACAUCAUUAUAUGGGUUGUUUUGUUUAGCCACAUAACAGCCCUAGGAUGUAGAUCCUUAUUAUGUCCAUUUUACAGAUAAGUAAGCCGAGGCUAAGAACGGCCCGACACCAGCGUCACAGUCACACAGCUAGGAAAUGACCGGGUAGGAAUGUCAACCAGGCCCUCUGACGCCAUCGCACUUCUGCCUCCUGGCCCAGCAAUUCAGAACUUUAAAAAUUAAAUAUAAUCUAACACUUUGCAGCUUUCAUGGCUGCAUUCUUUGGACCAUGAACCUCUUAUCUUCAAAAGAUAGACCAGGGCCUCUCAAACGUUGAGAAGGGCGCAACCACUUGCAAUUUUUGAGCCUUCUGUAUUUUUUUAAAAGAUUUUAUUUGUUUAUUUAUGAGAGACACAGAGAGAGAGAGAGAGAGGCAGAGACACAGGCAGAGGGAGAAGCAGGCUCCCUGUGGGGAACCCAAUGUGGGACUCCAUCCCAGGACUCCGGGGUCACAUAGAGAGAGGCAGAGACACAGGCAGAGGGAGAAGCAGGAUCCCUGUGGGGAACCCAAUGUGGGACUCCAUCCCAGGACUCCGGGGUCACACCCUGGGCCCAAGGCAGACACUCAACCACUGAGCCAUCCAGGUGCCCCUCUGGUAUUUUUUUAAAGGAAGAAAAUAAUAAAACAGGACUAAAAUAUGAGUAGUAUAUUUUA
Long non-coding RNA from Vulpes vulpes (red fox), 1871 nucleotides. NCBI's taxonomy places the organism in Eukaryota, Metazoa, Chordata, Mammalia, Carnivora, Canidae. The record is from Ensembl.